UACGUAGGGGGCGAGCGUUGUCCGGAAUUAUUGGGCGUAAAGAGCGUGUAGGCGGUUCGGUAAGUCUGCCGUGAAAACCUGGGGCUCAACCUCGGGCGUGCGGUGGAUACUGCCGGGCUAGAGGACGGUAGAGGCGAGUGGAAUUCCCGGUGUAGCGGUGAAAUGCGCAGAUAUCAGGAAGAACACCAACGGCGAAGGCAGCUCGCUGGGACGGUACUGACGCUGAGACGCGAAAGCGUGGGGAGCGAACAGG
RNAcentral lists this ribosomal RNA (253 nucleotides) under uncultured bacterium. RNAcentral's name for it is "partial 16S ribosomal RNA". It matches the Rfam family "Bacterial small subunit ribosomal RNA", at positions 524 to 776 of the family's 1533-position model. The record is from RNAcentral.